AAGAAGAACAGGUGCUCUGAACGCCGUGUUCAUUUUGUGCAGUACAUUUACAUCCAUUUAGAGCGUUUUAAGUUAGAUGAAACGCUGUAGGUUUUAGGCGUAAAUUAUAGGGCUGGGAAGCACUUGAACGUUGGUUCCGACGCUUGGACUGAACCACGAGUGUCGGCCAUCAUCUUUCCUACCCAGGUGAGUUUCAUCAGGAUAUGCUUGAGGGAAAGGAAGUGGGUGUCGCCGUCUGAGGAAUUCUCUUGUGCCAUUCUUAUCUUAAAUCUAGUUUUGAACGGAUUUCGAAGUAUAAGGUGCUUUUUAGGAGCUAUGUUUUAGAAACCGUGAAAAAACAAACGUAAUUCACAAGUCAAAAAUAAAAAUUUACCUGGAUGAAGUUUAUAAUAUACACAAUAAAGGCGAUAUAAUACAAGUAAGAGUGGUGCUCAACCCGUGGUAGUGUGCAUAUAUAGCUUGGAAUCCCCUCUCCACCAGUUCAAAAUGUCCAACUUGUAUAUCCAAUUCUGUGAAUCUCCCCCACGUAGUCCACAGUCAAGUAUGUAUUCGCCUCUUGAGCGAAUGACCCUGAAGAGCUAGAGGAACUUUCACUUGCAGUCUUCGUUUUAUGUACCAAACUCCAUCCGCCUGACCAAAGUGCACUGGAUGAGGACGACAACACGGGUUGUGGGGCGGAGGCUCUCGUACAAAAUCGGGUGGUGUUCGCAUCAUACAUAGAGUACAUUAAUCUCUUCCCCAUGACCGUGAUCUUUAUCCCAUUUGGACCGCCUUUCUUACCCCCAAAUUUUCGUAUUAUAGAAGAAGCACAGUUGUGAGCCCUUCCACUUGCUGUCCCGGGUCCAGUACAGCAGACAAAAGAAAGGUAGAAUGUCCAUGUAAUAUUUAAGGAAUCUGUCCUUCACGGCAUCCACAACAGGUUUUAAAAUAAAAGCAUCACCCUCUUUCUUGGGUAAUCGAUCCGAUAUCAUGAGCAGAAUGAAAAGAGAAAGGGGAGUAGAUGAUUGAUGACAUAUGAAUAACGUCUUCCUGUAUCAUUAAAAGGUUUGAAUAAAUCCCUAAAGCUUCCAGCAACCAUGUCUGUAUUAAAACGGGUGUAGUUGCACUUUCGUAAUGAAAAGUAGAAAACAAGGUGAGAUAUGCCAUAUCAUGCAUAUCCUAUCUAACAUUAGAUAAGUUAAUUUCACCUAGCGCUCGCGACUAACGGAUAUGAACAGGUUUCUCUCUACAUUGCAUGAAAAAGUGCUUCGACUCAUGCCCUCUAAAGGGCGAUUACCUAAUACGUGCAAUCGAAUCGUCUAUACUAGUUACUUUAUCCGAAAAAAGAAACAGUAAGCCCAUGUUUCAUUCACGAACAGAUUAACUAUGCAGGGUACCUGAAAAAGUCACCAUUGCAAGUAGGUAUAAGUUGUGGUAUCAGAUUCCUAACCUUGGAGUUGUUAACACUAGCAUUAGCCAAGGUAAUGGAGAAAGCUUUAUCCGCAGUACCAGACAGUGGAACAAUCUUACGAUUUCUACAACAAUAUCUUCACCAAUAUAAGGAAAUUCUAGCACUUUAAAAGUCGGAGCCCUCUUUUCCAAGACCUAAUUCGGACCGAUGCAAUGGCUUGUGGCACGACAAGUUGUUAACCUGCUAGUGCCAGUCCACAAAUCGGAAGUCGAGGAAAUUCGAAAAUCACCUGUGAAAAAUAAUGUACCAAGGCGAUUUCUUUCGUUUGUACCACCUCCUCAUGUGACUUGGCGAAUCCCAAAUGUUCCGCGAAACUAAAAGGUUGCUCGGCGGCAAGAAUUUGGUGUGCUAA
Molecule: long non-coding RNA, 1802 nt
Organism: Syzygium oleosum
Lineage: Eukaryota; Viridiplantae; Streptophyta; Magnoliopsida; Myrtales; Myrtaceae
Exons: 2
Source: RefSeq, a predicted model, not a curated record